GCGGAGGGAUCAUUACCGAGUUUACAACUCCCAAACCCCUGUGAACAUACCUAUUGUUGCUUCGGCGGGAUCGCCCCGGCGCCCUCGGGCCCGGACCCAGGCGCCCGCCUGAGGACCCAAACUCUUGUCUUUCAUGAGUAUCUUCGGAGUAAACAUAAGCAAAAUAAAUCAAAACUUUCAACAACGGAUCUCUUGGUUCUGGCAUCGAUGAAGAACGCAGCGAAAUGCGAUAAGUAAUGUGAAUUGCAGAAUUCCGUGAAUCAUCGAAUCUUUGAACGCACAUUGGCCCGCCAGUAUUCUGGCGGGCAUGCCUGUUCGAGCGUCAUUUCAACCCUCAAGCCCCCGGGCUUGGUGUUGGGGAUCGGCCCGCCCGCCGCGGCGCGCCGGCCCCGAAAAUCUAGUGGCGGUCUCGCUGUAGCCCUCCUCUGCGUAGUAGCACACCUCGCACCGGAACGCAGCCUGGCCACGCCGUUAAACCCCCCACUUCUGAAGGUUGACCUCGGAUCAGGUAGGAAUACCCGCUGAACUUAAGCAUAUCAAUAA
This 543-nucleotide ribosomal RNA is filed under the name uncultured Cosmospora. RNAcentral's name for it is "eukaryotic LSU rRNA". The stretch from base 173 to 325 matches the Rfam family "5.8S ribosomal RNA". The record is from RNAcentral. Lineage: Eukaryota; Fungi; Ascomycota; Sordariomycetes; Hypocreales; Nectriaceae.